This 253-nucleotide ribosomal RNA is filed under the name uncultured bacterium. RNAcentral's name for it is "partial 16S ribosomal RNA". It matches the Rfam family "Bacterial small subunit ribosomal RNA", at positions 524 to 776 of the family's 1533-position model. The record is from RNAcentral.
UACGUAGGGUGCGAGCGUUGUCCGGAAUUAUUGGGCGUAAAGGGCUCGUAGGCGGUUUGUCGCGUCGGGAGUGAAAAUCCAGGGCUUAACUCUGGACUGGCUUCCGAUACGGGCAGACUAGAGGUAUGCAGGGGAGAACGGAAUUCCUGGUGUAGCGGUGAAAUGCGCAGAUAUCAGGAGGAACACCGGUGGCGAAGGCGGUGCUCUGGGCAUUACCGGACGCUGAGGAGCGAAAGUGUGGGGAGCGAACAGG